Molecule: non-coding RNA, 3172 nt
Organism: Microcebus murinus (gray mouse lemur)
Lineage: Eukaryota; Metazoa; Chordata; Mammalia; Primates; Cheirogaleidae
Source: RefSeq, a predicted model, not a curated record
CAAAAGCCUGAGCAAAAAAGAAUUUGCUCUUUGCCUGACAGUCUUCAGCUGAAACAUCAGUCUCCUCCUACCUUCAAACCCAGACUAGAAUGUGCACCAUCAGCUUAUGUGGUUCUCAGGCCUUCAGACUGCAGAGCAUGGGACUUCUCAGCCUUCAUGAUCCUCUGUGGAAGCUGAGAUCCAGUUGCAGUUCAGUAAACUACCCAAGUUCUCGCAGAUGGUGAGUGAAAAGCAAUCAAGUGCUUUGUGGGAUCAAAGGAAGGAAGAUGCUUUUAUCUAUUAUAGAAUGGUAUCAGAAGUAACGCUGAACAAGAAGAUAGAACAUCCUUGUAUCACUGCAAAACGGUCUUAGAGAAGCUCUUUGACUACAGGACACAGGAUACUGUGAAGAGAGAAGCUUUUAAAGGAAUGAGAUGGGAAGCAAGUGUAUUUCAAAGCAGAAGAGGGUGACAUGAGGAAGAAGCCACCUCUCUUUGAGAGAUGAGGCCACUUGAUUGACACAGCAUAGCGUAGUGGUGAAUAAGAUAGAUUUAUGCAAAUCUCAUCUUUGCGACUUACCAGCUGAAUGGACUAGCGCAGGUUGCUGGACCCUUGAAGCAAGGACUGCUGGAAGAUCAAAUGUGCUUGUGCAUGUGAAAUGCCUCUUUAAAACAAUCAAAUAAAUAUCCUCUAUAACAAAAAGUUUUGUGUGAAAGUUAAUGCAACAUGAAAUCACCCUAAGUCACCUCUUCUUUGCCUCUGGUAACCUGGGUCUUUUCUUUAUAAACAUUAUCCACUUUAAAAUAAUUUUACUCGUUUAAUUUUGACCUUUCUAAUGUCAUUCUAUGCUUGAAGCAUCACUUUUGAAGACACAUCAUAAAGAAUUUCAUUUUAUUCAGUUUUGGGUUUCCUUUAAUGAAUAUGCAUUAGCUUUAUAAGAAGUGUCUCUUUUUGUGGUAAGAAAGGUCAGAUGAGCAAUAAAAAUAAGACAUAAAAUGAUCUAUAACAUCAAUAUACAUUUCAUUAAAAGUCCACCAGUUCCUGGCAUUAAAUAAUACACACUGUGUUAGGUACAGAAGAUCUGGCCUUUCAGUUUCUGAGUUAUGUAUACAUUGUAAGGUUCAGGUGUGAGAAUGUCUUCCUCCGGGCAGCUCCCAGACAACACCUGGCAUUUCCUCUGCUCAGCUACUUUCAAGUGCUAUGUCCUUACGUACAGAGGGGUGGAAGCCUAGUCCAGCUGCAGAGGGGCUAUUCCAAACCUGGAGCCUACCAGACAUUUCCCCUGCCCUCUAGAGCUAUGAAAAUAGCACCAGCACCCUACCCUAAAAGGGUUGACAAGUUAGUCUCCAGGAACGUUCUGCAUACAAGUGAACAUAUUCAGUUAGUCAAAUGCACUGGAAGCUAAUCUUUUGUAUGACUUACAUGUUGUCCAACUUUUUGACAUAUAUGCAAAAUUUCCCAAGAACAGUUAAUAAACACAACACAAGCAUAGUUUCUCACAAAGAGCAGUAACAUUCUUUAGCUAAGAGAUCCUUGCUUUAUUGUGAUAACUGGGUCCAAAAAGGAAAGAUGAUCUGGAAAAUUUGGGGGAGAAGAUUGGGGAAAGCUGCCAAAAAUAUGAAGAUUUAAAAAAAUGUUGAGAAUCAGUAGAGAGAGAAAUAAGUAAUCAGAGCUAAAUAAUCAGAGCCAUGAUCCUUCCAACCGAUGGUGCUUUUAUUUGAAAUAGGUACUGAUAGCAUCAAAGCUAUUUGUUGAAAGUCCACUAUGCCCAGGGUACUGAGUUAGGUGCAAUAUUCUGUAAAAAUCAUGCCCUUCCCCUCAGUGAGCUUGUUGUCAGAAAGAGUGCACAAGAUGCACACAUAGAACUUCAAAUAGAAAUGAUGUUGAUUAGCAACCAGAGGAGGUGACCUUUGAAUUUGAAUAGGAGGUCAGAUUUUUAACUUGUGGAUAGUGAAGGAAAGAACAAUACAGAUAGAAAGAUAUAAAAACAAUAACAACAACGGAAAACACAUUGAUGUAUAAAAGCUUAAACAGGUAAGGAAAACUGCCAAUUUACCUAAAUAGGAUACCUAAUGGAGAUUAACAGAAAAUGGGUUAAAAGGAAGCAGGGACACAUCAGGGUUAAUGUCAGUGUGAUUUUAUUUGGAAGACAGUGAUGAGAUGCUGAAGGUAAGGGAGUAACAUAAUCAGAGCUCUGCACAACAUAAUUUCCCAAGGAUGCAUAAGGUAAAUAAUAUGUACAAGAGACCAACAGAAAUGAAACCAUCAGAGGGUUGUUGGGCCCAGUGAAGGUGGUAAUAAGAAUCUGCAGAGAGUGGGUUGAGGUGUAUCUGUAGGACAGAGGUGGGUAGGAUGGGCAAUAGAAGGCUGAGGAACCAACAAUAACCCUUACGCUUUAGGCCUGGGUAACUGGAAGGGUGGUGGGACCACUAACAGAGACGGGUAACUCAGGUUUAGCAGGAAGAUGAUGGAUUCCAUAUGUUGAAUGUGAUGCUCCAGUAGAAAACCUGGGUGAUGCUGUUGAGAACAGAGUGAGAAGUAUACAGCUGGAGCUCAAUAGAUAGAUCAUGGUUUGGAAGUUACCUAAAUAAUGAAGAUAGAAGAAGAAAUUCAUAGGAAAGGACUAGAUUGUCAGGAAAGACUUGAGGAGAGAGACGAGAGGAUGGGGAAGACAGGCCACUGAUAUGUCAGUUUUCUAGGGCUGCCACAACAAAUUACCACAACCUGGGUGGCUUAAAAUGACAGUAAUUUAUUUUCUCACAGUUCUGGAGGCUAGAUAUCUGAAAUCCAGGGGUCCACAGGGUCAUGCUCCCUCCAAAGAUUCUAGGGAAGAAUCCGUUCUUCUUUAAUCUGUUAAUCCAUCCUUCACUAAUGAUGCUAAAUAAAAUAAACCAGGGACAGAAAGACAAAUACUGUACAACAUCACCUAUCUUAAAAUGUUGAACUCAGAGAGAGUAGAAUGGUGGUUUCCAGGGUUGCGGUCUGGGGGAAUUGCGGAGAUAUUGUCCACAGGAUAUAACUUACAGUUGUAAGAUGAAUGAGUUUGGGGAUCUAAUGUACAGCAUAGUGACUAUGGUUAACAAUACUGUGUUGUUUACUUAAAAUUUGCUAAGGGAGAAGAUCUUAAGUAAGUGUCCUCAAAACACAUACAAACACACACACAUAAUGGUAACUAUAUGUGGUGAUGGAUAUG